Molecule: ribosomal RNA, 297 nt
Filed under: Amphibalanus amphitrite
Lineage: Eukaryota; Metazoa; Arthropoda; Thecostraca; Balanomorpha; Balanidae
Description: partial 12S ribosomal RNA
Rfam family: Microsporidia small subunit ribosomal RNA
Source: RNAcentral
GGCGGCAAGAUAGCCAUUUAGAGGAACCUGCCCUAUAAACGAUGAACCACGAAUACCUUACUUUUUUUUGAGAUCAGUUUGUAUACCGCUGUUGGCAGUUAGUUUCAUUAGAAAACUUUCGUUAAUAAUAUAAUUAUUGACUUCAAGUAAAGGUGCAGCAAAUAAAAAAGACAGAGGUGGGUUACAUUUAAUUGAAUAAAACGGAUAAAGUUAUGAAAUUGCUUUUGAAGGUGGAUUUAAUAGUAAAGUUUAAUAAAACUUGAUGGGAGCUCUGUCUUGUGUACACACCGCCCGUCG